RNAcentral lists this ribosomal RNA (440 nucleotides) under uncultured bacterium. RNAcentral describes it as "partial 16S ribosomal RNA". It matches the Rfam family "Bacterial small subunit ribosomal RNA", at positions 338 to 795 of the family's 1533-position model. The record is from RNAcentral.
CCUACGGGAGGCAGCAGUAGGGAAUAUUGCACAAUGGGGGAAACCCUGAAGCAGCAACGCCGCGUGGAGGAUGAAGGUUUUCGGAUUGUAAACUCCUUUUGUUAGAGAAGAAAAUGACGGUAUCUAACGAAUAAGCACCGGCUAACUCCGUGCCAGCAGCCGCGGUAAUACGGAGGGGGCAAGCGUUACUCGGAAUCACUGGGCGUAAAGGGCGCGUAGGCGGGAUAGCAAGUCAGAUGUGAAAUCCUAUGGCUUAACCAGAGAACUGCAUUUGAAACUGUUAUUCUAGAGUAUGGGAGAGGUAGGUGGAAUUCUUGGUGUAGGGGUAAAAUCCGUAGAGAUCAAGAGGAAUACUCAUUGCGAAGGCGACCUGCUAGAACAUAACUGACGCUGAUGCGCGAAAGCGUGGGGAGCAAACAGGAUUAGAUACCCGAGUAGUC